UGGGGAAUUUUGGACAAUGGGGGAAACCCUGAUCCAGCCAUCCCGCGUGUGCGAUGAAGGCCUUCGGGUUGUAAAGCACUUUUGGCAGGAAAGAAACGUCAUGGGUUAAUACCCCGUGAAACUGACGGUACCUGCAGAAUAAGCACCGGCUAACUACGUGCCAGCAGCCGCGGUAAUACGUAGGGUGCAAGCGUUAAUCGGAAUUACUGGGCGUAAAGCGUGCGCAGGCGGUUCGGAAAGAAAGAUGUGAAAUCCCAGAGCUCAACUUUGGAACUGCAUUUUUAACUACCGGGCUAGAGUGUGUCAGAGGGAGGUGGAAUUCCGCGUGUAGCAGUGAAAUGCGUAGAUAUGCGGAGGAACACCGAUGGCGAAGGCAGCCUCCUGGGAUAACACUGACGCUCAUGGACGAAAGCGUGGGGAGCAAACAGG
This 429-nucleotide ribosomal RNA is filed under the name Acidobacteriota bacterium. RNAcentral's name for it is "Acidobacteria bacterium partial 16S ribosomal RNA". It matches the Rfam family "Bacterial small subunit ribosomal RNA", at positions 355 to 776 of the family's 1533-position model. Lineage: Bacteria; Pseudomonadati; Acidobacteriota. The record is from RNAcentral.